This 536-nucleotide long non-coding RNA is filed under the name Apteryx rowi (Okarito brown kiwi). RNAcentral's name for it is "lncRNA (ENSARWG00000005689.1)". The record is from RNAcentral. Lineage: Eukaryota; Metazoa; Chordata; Aves; Apterygiformes; Apterygidae.
GCUGGAUAGCCCUAGCUGGACAGAGGAACAGAGAUUUAGCAGGUGAACCUUCAGGCUCCAAAGACUGAGAAUUUGUGACCUGUCAGAUUGGGAGCUGGGACUUCUGUUUGACGUUGCCUACUCAGCUCUGAUGUGCUCUCGAAUAUCUUGCUUGGAGCAAAGGAGCUGUGCUUCAAAGACAGCUUUUGAGGAAAUUCUGGUUCAUCAAAGCCUGGUUUGGUGCUUAGAUGGCUAUUCAAUCCAUGAAGUAUGGGGCAGUCUAUAUCCAUAUUAUCCCAAGGGAAGCCCUUUGAAAUAAUUGUGACCUCUUUGCUCUUGAAGACAAUGAACAAAGAAUACCUUUCAAGAAUGCUGGCUGAUUCUUAGAGCUCUGGCUGUAUGAGAUACCUCCUUCUCUCUCUGAAAACGCAACCUCACGUAGCACAGAGCAAUUAAACUGUUGGGAAAUCUGAGAAACCCUGUGGUCACAGGAGAUGCAAUCCUACAUUGACUGCAGAACUCCCUGCCAGAUGAAAUAAAAAUAGCUAUUAAUUUCA